UAAACUCUAUUAAGAUUGAAUACCAAAUUAUCAAAACGCAUAUCAAUGUUUCAUGGCCCGAUCAUACGAAUAUAUAUCUAUACACAUAAAUUUAUCCAAACAUUAAGAUUACAAAAAAGAUACGUAAAACAUUGAUAAACAGCACGGAUUAAAAAACAUCUCAUGCCUCCUUGUAUUAUUACAAUUACAACAAAUCAAAAAAUAGUAAUAAAUAUAAUAGAGAUGAUUUUGUUACAAUGGCCAGAAGUGCUUCUUAUAAUAAAAGAAAUUCGCGAUGCUUUACUUCACUUGAACCCUUUGCUAAAAGUGAUAAUUGUUAAAGAUCUAAUUGAAAUUGUAGCUUCACGAAGGGUAAAAUUGUAGUAAAACAAAGGGGAAAUUGAUGGAUUAAGAGGCUCAGAAUAAAAAACUAAAAAUACAAACCAAUCGACUCUAUAACAAUAUUAAUUUGUAACUGAAACCUUUAGUUUUACUUCAUUUUUUCUAACCACGUGAUCCAUGUCUUUACAAAAUCCUUUAGUUUUUCCCUUUAUAUAGCACCAAAGUGAGUCCAGAUGAUGGAUACUUGAUUUCCUCCUUGUCACCAAUUGGUAGCAAACUACCAGCUUUUGAAACACUUCAUUCUUUCAAGUAUCUUUUCCUAUUUACCAUCAAAGACAUUUAGAAGAUCAACUUUCCCCUGUUUGGAUUCAAUAUUUUGAAUUUAUGUCAAAUAUAUAUAUAUAUAUANAUAUAUAUAAUUCAAAUUAUAAGGUAUGAAGAAUUUUAUAGAUAACCCAUGUGGUAAAGGGGGAAGCACAUUAAAAUAUUAAACUGCACCUUUUAUUGUUGUAGGCUUCAAAAUUCCAGGUCUAAUAUGGACCAUAAAAGAUUCAUAAGUAAAAGAUGUAGAAAGUGCAUUUAUCUAAAAUUGAAAUUUAUCUGCAAAGAAAAAAACCAUAAAAUUAAAUACAUAUGAACCAUAACAGAACCAUCAUAUUAUUAAUAAGACACUAACAUAUAGAAAUCAAUCUUUAUAUAGAUUAUCAUUCAAUGAACUCAUAAUCAAUAUCAAAUUUCAAUAUAAGCCUAAACAAACGAACUGAAAAACAAACAUUUGCUUCUAGUUUUCCAUACCUAAACCUAAAGAAUUAGACGAAAUAGCAUGUUAAUAAAUGUUUUCUCCAAUAAUAUGACUUUAAGGUAGAAAUCCUUCAUGUAUUCAGGUUUCCACUUUCUAGGUCGUAAGAUUUCAGACUUGAGUUUUUCUAAAGAAAAUAUUUUUAUUCAAAAGUAAUAUACCUACAAUCGGAUCUGGAGAAGAAAUCCAUCAAUGAACAUAAAAUCAGACUUGCAUCCAUUCAUCACCAAAAUCAAAAUCGUAUCGUUGUUAAUUGAUGGAAACGUCACCAAAAGAAGUAGAAAAAAUCGAACUUGUAAAUGGUGGUGGGAUCGAAAGCAGCAAACAAAACCCUAACAAAAUUAUUUUAUCUUCAAAAAAGCCCAAUAAGAUAGAUAUGUAGAUAUGCAUUCCUAUGUGGAUAUAUUAAGAAACCUAACAACAAAAAACCCAAAAUAAAGUUUUCUCACGUACUUCUUACGAUCCAGUUACCGACAUCACCAAAACAUCCCAUGGACUUCACAGGAACAUGUUUGAUUGUGGUGAGGCUAGGGUUUCCUGAGAUUUUGAGUGACAAACAUACAAAACUUUAGAGCAUAAUAUAAGAGAAUAGAGAGGUUCGAGAUUCUUGCCUAGAAAAUCAUAAAUAAGGUGCUUGGCGGUGAAUCGAUGCAGAUGGUAUAGGGAUCUAGAUCAAUAUUCAUGAAAUCGACAUGGUGGAGAGAGAAGCAAUGGUGUUUAGAAAAUGAAGCAUCUCCAUUUGUUCCUCUGCUUGUGUACCUCUCCAUUCCAUCGUUUUUUAUUCCAAGGUUUAGUCUAGGGUUAUAGGAGAGAAAACAUGAGAGAACCGAAUCAAAAUUACCAUUAUGAGGGAGUGUAUGGGAAAUUGGAAAUGCUAGAUCUUUAAGUGUAUAUAGAGAAUUUGGGAUAUAAGUUUCAAUUUUAGUUUUAAAAUUUAAAGUGUUGACAUUGAUUAGUUAUGCAUAUAAUUAGGACGACGAAUUCAAAAUUUGCUAAGCAACAGGUGUAGGUACUCGUUAUACACGGAAAAAGAUAAAAAUCUUUAAACUGCACCUUUUAUUUGUGUUUGUUUUCACUUUAUUCAAGUUUAGGCAUAAAUUACAGAUGCGGUCACAGAAAAGUAAUAUGACUGUAGUUUAU
Molecule: long non-coding RNA, 2260 nt
Filed under: Lactuca sativa (garden lettuce)
Lineage: Eukaryota; Viridiplantae; Streptophyta; Magnoliopsida; Asterales; Asteraceae
Description: long non-coding RNA (LSAT_LNC002425)
Source: RNAcentral